AUUGAACGCUGGCGGAAUGCUUUACACAUGCAAGUCGAACGGCAGCGGACCUUCGGGUGCCGGCGAGUGGCGAACGGGUGAGUAAUAUAUCGGAACGUACCUUUCAGUGGGGGAUAACGUAGCGAAAGUUACGCUAAUACCGCAUAUUCUGUGAGCAGGAAAGCAGGGGAUCGCAAGACCUUGCGCUGAUUGAGCGGCCGAUAUCAGAUUAGCUAGUUGGUGAGGUAAAGGCUCACCAAGGCGACGAUCUGUAGCGGGUCUGAGAGGAUGAUCCGCCACACUGGAACUGAGACACGGUCCAGACUCCUACGGGAGGCAGCAGUGGGGAAUUUUGGACAAUGGGCGCAAGCCUGAUCCAGCCAUGCCGCGUGAGUGAAGAAGGCCU
RNAcentral lists this ribosomal RNA (385 nucleotides) under uncultured bacterium. RNAcentral's name for it is "bacterial SSU rRNA". It matches the Rfam family "Bacterial small subunit ribosomal RNA", at positions 30 to 417 of the family's 1533-position model. The record is from RNAcentral.